Molecule: ribosomal RNA, 266 nt
Filed under: uncultured bacterium
Lineage: Bacteria
Description: partial 16S ribosomal RNA
Rfam family: Bacterial small subunit ribosomal RNA
Source: RNAcentral
GUCCACGCCCUAAACGAUGCGAACUAGGUGUUGGGGAAGGAGACUUUCUUAGUACCGCAGCUAACGCGUGAAGUUCGCCGCCUGGGGAGUACGGUCGCAAGAUUAAAACUCAAAGGAAUUGACGGGGACCCGCACAAGCGGUGGAUGAUGUGGAUUAAUUCGAUGCAACGCGAAAAACCUUACCUACCCUUGACAUGUCAGGAAGUCUGCUGAGAGGUGGAUGUGCCCGAAAGGGAACCUGAACACAGGUGCUGCAUGGCUGUCGU